AUUCAAUGAAGUCCCGGUCNNCCGGGGAGUCCAUGNAGUNGGAUAUUUAGUGAGAAAGGGAGNGAAUUCCGUGUAAAGGGGAAAAUGUAGAGAUUUGGGGAAACCAGGGGAAGGGAAUUCUGGUCUCUAGUUGUCGCUGUGGAGCGAAAGAGUGGGGAGAGCACAGGAUUAGAUAUCCCGGUAGUNCCGCCCCNAACGAUNAGUGAUAAGGUUAGGGGUUUUCGCCCCUUAGUGCUGCAGCUAACGCAUUAAGCNGUCCGCCUGGGGAGUACGGUCGCAAGGUUGAACUCAAAGGAAUUGACGGGGGCCCGCACAAGCGGUGGAGCAUGUGGUUUAAUUCGAAGCAACGCGAAGAACCUUACCCGCUUUUGACAUCUUCGGACUCUCUUAGAGAUAGGGGGUCCCCUUAGGGGGCAGAGUGACAGGUGGUGCAUGGUUGUGUUCACAUCUUGUGUUGAGAUAUUGGGUUAAAUCUCCCAAAGAGAGCACCCCCUGAUUCUAGUUUCCAGCAUUCAAUUGGGCCCUUUAAGGUGGCUGCCGGGGACAAACCGGAGGAAGGUGGGGAAGACGUCAAAUCCUCAUGCCCCUUAUGACGUGGGCUACACACGUCUACAAUGGACAGAACAAAGGGCAGCAAACCGCGAGGNAAGCCAAUCCCACAAAUCNUUUUCAGUUCGGAUCGCAGUUUGCAACUUGACUGCGGGAAAGUGGAAUUGGUAGUAAUUGGGGAUCAGCAAUCCGCGGGGAAUACGUUUCCCGGGCCUUGUACACACCGC
This 776-nucleotide ribosomal RNA is filed under the name Bacillus sp. (in: firmicutes). RNAcentral's name for it is "bacterial SSU rRNA". It matches the Rfam family "Bacterial small subunit ribosomal RNA", at positions 587 to 1393 of the family's 1533-position model. The record is from RNAcentral. Lineage: Bacteria; Bacillati; Bacillota; Bacilli; Caryophanales; Bacillaceae.